This 71-nucleotide microRNA precursor is filed under the name Astyanax mexicanus (Mexican tetra). RNAcentral describes it as "miR-430 microRNA precursor family". It matches the Rfam family "miR-430 microRNA precursor family". The record is from Rfam by way of RNAcentral. Lineage: Eukaryota; Metazoa; Chordata; Actinopteri; Characiformes; Acestrorhamphidae.
UUGGUGGCUCUAACAGCGGCACUGACCUUUCCAUAGUAAUUGGUAAGGUGCUAUUUGUUGGGGUAGUUUAA